UUAUCUUGUGAGCAAUUGUUUUUGUUUUGGAGGGUUUCCAAAACAAGGAAAGGUUGAUCCGAACCUAAAAUCGGAGUGUAUUGGGUCGGCUUGUACCCGAGAAACAAGUGGACUAGCUUGGGAUAGCUAGUGUCAGAGUUUUCGACGGUUGUAUUCGGGUUGAAUACAAAGUAUAGUGGAUUGGAAUUCCCAAGUAGGAGCUUGGGGAGUGGAUGUAGGUGCAAGGUUGGCACCGAACCACUAUAAAUCAUUGUGUUUGUGGCAUGCUUUAUUGUUUCUCUUUAAUUCUCCAUUAUAUCCUUGCAUUCUUGUUUUAAGUAAUUAAUCUCAAACCAAAGUCUCUCUCUUCAUUCAUCAAGUUUUUGAUAUAUAAUUUUUACAAGUAAUU
Molecule: long non-coding RNA, 388 nt
Filed under: Elaeis guineensis (African oil palm)
Lineage: Eukaryota; Viridiplantae; Streptophyta; Magnoliopsida; Arecales; Arecaceae
Description: long non-coding RNA (EGUI_LNC065714)
Source: RNAcentral